GGGCCAACAACCAACAACCAGCACCGGCGCGAGUUGCAUUCAUCCUGUUCCGGGUCUGCUCCUGCUCUUCUGCAUUCUGCGCUACCCUGGUGCCGGUUCAGGUGCGCUACCAUGUGGGCUGCUUGCAUUCUAUUAUCUGCCACGGUUUCACCCGGCCAGGACCCGGCGCGGGCACGCUAGAAGGCGUAUAGACAAUCGGUGUGAUUGUGAGCAGAUAACUAUAGAUAGACACUAUCAUAUCUGCAAGAUAGGGGGCCCCCCAAACCCGAGGUCCCGGGCGCCCGGGGUGGGUAAGGUAAGCAGAUAAAACGCCCCGGGGUGGGCCCAGGCCACAAGAUUGCGGGUUUUAGAUUCGGUCUUUCCUACUGCCUACUGGCGCGACUGAGGAGUGCAGUAUGCGAUAUGCUAUGCUACGGUGUGUGCUGCUAGCGUGCUACUUUUCGUGCGCCGUGCUUUGAACCGUGUGCCUCAGUUCGAUCGCAACCAGGGACCUCAAAAGGUGGGUCCUUUUGUGCGCCGCUUCGCUUUCGCUUUCGCAGCGUCUGAUCCUAGUGUAGUACCGUUUCGGGGGCUAGUGCACACCACGUGUUGGCUCUAACGGAGCUGGUGAUACGGUUCAUCGGUGUCGAUCCUGUGCCGUGCUCAUUGGUGGCGAGAGAUGAAGAUUUCAUCGAGGUGAUCGAGUGCAUCAUGUGAUCUGUUUGUACGUCAGGUGAUCUGAAGCUCGUCCGGUGGCUUAAGAAAGUCACAGAAAACGGGCAUAAAUUGCAGUGUUGUGCAGAGUUGUGUUGCUCUGGAGGCGCAGUAAAAGUACGGAGAAAGACGUGGCGCAUUGUGUUUCGAUCUGCGUCACUGCGCGCAUUCGUCAUACGCCGCCCGUGUGUGUCGCCAUCAGCGAGCUGAGUAUAUAUCGAAGUAGAAGGACAUAACCGUUAUCUAUAUCACGCCCCAUAUUGUGCGAUACGAAGGGUAUGAUACGCAACGGUUAUAUAUACACCCGUCUUAUCACUCGCCCAGUUCUCACAAACACCAAUUACUACCACCGCGAUUGUGUGCACUCGUGAUUGCUGGUUGUGUGGCAAUGUGAAUUUUCUGCGCGUACCCACGCCGCUGAUGUCAGGCGUGGAUUGUGAAUUGGUAAUAAACUUGCAAACACAGCAAACAACGUGUGAUCGAUGAUCGAUGCUACUGGCCGCAGAAGUAUCCUCUAUCUAGACAUCGAGACCACGGUGGGACGAUUGAUGUUGUGCUUGCUCUCGAUCAGCUCCUGUGACGAAUGAGCCUGCUCGCUCUGCUCAUCUUCGGGGAUCGACGGGCUGCGGCUGUGGUG
Molecule: long non-coding RNA, 1330 nt
Organism: Anopheles aquasalis
Lineage: Eukaryota; Metazoa; Arthropoda; Insecta; Diptera; Culicidae
Source: RefSeq, a predicted model, not a curated record